UUUGUUGAUGUUAUUGAAAAAAUAGUGGUUCAUAUUUCUAAAGAGGGAAUAAUUCAAAAGUACGAAUUGCAUGGAAUGAUACUCUUGAAAAGCUUCUCACCGCUUAGUCAUAAAAUAAUUGUGAAUUCAGAAGAUAAUUUAAAACAAGGUGACGUAAUGAAAGGUCAAAGCAAUAACUUAUUAUUCCACGACUAGUGCAUCAUUUGUGCCAUUUAGACUGCUUUCGAUUGUUGAAGAUGUGGAUAAGAACAGGGAUUGUGAUUUAACUCUACAAUUGUCUUGUAAUUUGCCAUCUAACGUAGAAGCAUUGAAUGUUGUACUACAUAUACCUGUGCCAUCUACUACUAGAAAGUAUUUAUUUGUUUAAGGCCCAAAUGGCAACGCUAGGAAAUCGACCAAUGAUUGCCGCUAAAAAUGUUAGAUGCCAAAUCUAGCUGAGGUGGCUCAACAUACUUUUAAAAACGGAAACGGAAAUAACCAGAUAGCAUCAGCUGCGGCAAUCUUAUACUAUUAAGCUAGGCAGAAGAUUGGUUGUUGCAGUUGGAGGGGAAAGGUGGCAAAAUUUGUCCACCACAGUGUUUUGAUCCAGUGAGUAAGAAGUGCUUAACUCUAAGAUGUCUUUUUUGCUAUUGGUGAUCGAAAUGGACUACAGGUGGCGUAGAGAAGAUCUCUCUACAUAUGGCAACACUUCGCAUGUUUUCACCACUAGCGUGUGGAGAGUCAUAGGAGAAGGAAGUAGGUUUCAGAAGAAAUCCGAUGAGUUAUUAUUUGUAUCACUGUGUGGCAACACUCCCGGCAGUGGUC
Parasteatoda tepidariorum (common house spider) is the source of this 804-nucleotide non-coding RNA. Lineage: Eukaryota; Metazoa; Arthropoda; Arachnida; Araneae; Theridiidae. The record is from RefSeq and is a predicted model, not a curated record.